GAUGAACGCUAGCUACAGGCUUAACACAUGCAAGUCGAGGGGAAACGGCAUCGAAAGCUUGCUUUUGAUGGGCGUCGACCGGCGCACGGGUGAGUAACGCGUAUCCAACCUGCCCAUCACUUGGGAAUAACCUUGCGAAAGUAAGACUAAUGCCCAAUGACAUCCCACGAAGGCAUCCGAAUGGGAUUAAAGAUUUAUCGGUGAUGGAUGGGGAUGCGUCUGAUUAGCUUGUUGGCGGGGUGACGGCCCACCAAGGCAACGAUCAGUAGGGGUUCUGAGAGGAAGGUCCCCCACAUUGGAACUGAGACACGGUCCAAACUCCUACGGGAGGCAGCAGUGAGGAAUAUUGGUCAAUGGGCGAGAGCCUGAACCAGCCAAGUAGCGUACAGGAUGACGGCCCUAUGGGUUGUAAACUGCUUUUAUAAGGGAAUAAAGUGGGUCACGUGUGACUUUUUGCAUGUACCUUAUGAAUAAGGACCGGCUAAUUCCGUG
This 492-nucleotide ribosomal RNA is filed under the name uncultured bacterium. Its description in RNAcentral is "partial 16S ribosomal RNA". It matches the Rfam family "Bacterial small subunit ribosomal RNA", at positions 28 to 507 of the family's 1533-position model. The record is from RNAcentral.